GAUGAACGCUGGCGGCGUGCUUAACACAUGCAAGUCGAGCGAGAUUAUUCUUCGGAAUAAUCUAGCGGCGGACGGGUGAGUAACACGUGGGCAACCUGCCUUGUAGAGGGGGAUAGCCUUCCGAAAGGAAGAUUAAUACCGCAUAACGUUAUUGAAAGGCAUCUUUCGAUAAUCAAAGGAGCAAUCCGCUACAAGAUGGGCCCGCGGCGCAUUAGCUUGUUGGUGAGGUAACGGCUCACCAAGGCGACGAUGCGUAGCCGACCUGAGAGGGUGAUCGGCCAUAUUGGGACUGAGACACGGCCCAGACUCCUACGGGAGGCAGCAGUGGGGAAUAUUGCACAAUGGGGGAAACCCUGAUGCAGCAACGCCGCGUGAGUGAUGACGGCCUUCGGGUUGUAAAGCUCUGUCUUUGGGGACGAUAAUGACGGUACCCAAGGAGGAAGUCACGGCUAACUACGUGCCAGCAGCCGCCGUAA
RNAcentral lists this ribosomal RNA (476 nucleotides) under uncultured bacterium. Its description in RNAcentral is "partial 16S ribosomal RNA". It matches the Rfam family "Bacterial small subunit ribosomal RNA", at positions 28 to 523 of the family's 1533-position model. The record is from RNAcentral.